GGCCGGCUGGCGCAAUGGUAGCGCGUCAGACUUCUAAUCAGUUUUCGUGUGAUGCGAAGCGGAUCAGUUGUUCAUCUGAAGGCUGCGGGUUCGAGCCCCGCGCUGGUCA
Molecule: non-coding RNA, 109 nt
Organism: Colletotrichum sp. SAR 10_76
Lineage: Eukaryota; Fungi; Ascomycota; Sordariomycetes; Glomerellales; Glomerellaceae
Source: the annotation of a GenBank genome assembly